This 77-nucleotide transfer RNA is filed under the name Fusobacteriaceae bacterium. RNAcentral describes it as "tRNA-Arg". It matches the Rfam family "tRNA". From Rfam's summary of the family: Transfer RNA (tRNA) molecules are approximately 80 nucleotides in length. Their secondary structure includes four short double-helical elements and three loops (D, anti-codon, and T loops). Lineage: Bacteria; Fusobacteriati; Fusobacteriota; Fusobacteriia; Fusobacteriales; Fusobacteriaceae. The record is from RNAcentral.
GCGUUUGUGGCUCAAUUGGAUAGAGCAACGGACUUCGGAUCCGUAGGUUGCGGGUUCAAAUCCUGUCAAACGCACCA